AGAGUUUGAUCCUGGCUCAGAGUGAACGCUGGCGGCAGGCCUAAUACAUGCAAGUCGAACGGCAGCACAGCAGAGCUUGCUCUGUGGGUGGCGAGUGGCGGACGGGUGAGGAAUACAUGGGAAUCUGCCCAGUCGUGGGGAUAACGUAGGGAAACUUACGCUAAUACCGCAUGCGCCCUUCGGGGGAAAGCCGGGGACCGUAAGGCCUGGCGCGAUUGGAUGAGCCCAUGUCGGAUUAGCUAGUUGGCGGGGUAAAGGCCCACCAAGGCGACGAUCCGUAGCUGGUCUGAGAGGAUGAUCAGCCACACUGGAACUGAGACACGGUCCAGACUCCUACGGGAGGCAGCAGUAGGGAAUAUUGGACAAUGGGCGCAAGCCUGAUCCAGCCAUGCCGCGUGAGUGAAGAAGGCCCUCGGGUUGUAAAGCUCUUUUGUCCGGAAAGAAAAGCGCCGGGUUAAUACCCUGGUGUCCUGACGGUACCGGAAGAAUAAGCACCGGCUAACUUCGUG
This 509-nucleotide ribosomal RNA is filed under the name uncultured bacterium. Its description in RNAcentral is "bacterial SSU rRNA". It matches the Rfam family "Bacterial small subunit ribosomal RNA", at positions 8 to 507 of the family's 1533-position model. The record is from RNAcentral.